Molecule: ribosomal RNA, 674 nt
Filed under: Enterobacter asburiae
Lineage: Bacteria; Pseudomonadati; Pseudomonadota; Gammaproteobacteria; Enterobacterales; Enterobacteriaceae
Description: partial 23S ribosomal RNA
Rfam family: Bacterial large subunit ribosomal RNA
Source: RNAcentral
UGGUGGGUAGUUUGACUGGGGCGGUCUCCUCCCAAAGAGUAACGGAGGAGCACGAAGGUUAGCUAAUCCUGGUCGGACAUCAGGAGGUUAGUGCAAUGGCAUAAGCUAGCUUGACUGCGAGAGUGACGGCUCGAGCAGGUGCGAAAGCAGGUCAUAGUGAUCCGGUGGUUCUGAAUGGAAGGGCCAUCGCUCAACGGAUAAAAGGUACUCCGGGGAUAACAGGCUGAUACCGCCCAAGAGUUCAUAUCGACGGCGGUGUUUGGCACCUCGAUGUCGGCUCAUCACAUCCUGGGGCUGAAGUAGGUCCCAAGGGUAUGGCUGUUCGCCAUUUAAAGUGGUACGCGAGCUGGGUUUAGAACGUCGUGAGACAGUUCGGUCCCUAUCUGCCGUGGGCGCUGGAGAAUUGAGGGGGGCUGCUCCUAGUACGAGAGGACCGGAGUGGACGCAUCACUGGUGUUCGGGUUGUCAUGCCAAUGGCACUGCCCGGUAGCUAAAUGCGGAAAAGAUAAGUGCUGAAAGCAUCUAAGCACGAAACUUGCCCCGAGAUGAGUUCUCCCUGACCCUUUAAGGGUCCUGAAGGAACGUUGAAGACUACGACGUUGAUAGGUCGGGUGUGUAAGCGCAGCGAUGCGUUGAGCUAACCGAUACUAAUGAACCGUGAGGCUUAACCUUAC